Molecule: long non-coding RNA, 537 nt
Organism: Xenia sp. Carnegie-2017
Lineage: Eukaryota; Metazoa; Cnidaria; Anthozoa; Malacalcyonacea; Xeniidae
Exons: 2
Source: RefSeq, a predicted model, not a curated record
ACCAAUUAUCAACGUUUCGGUUUCCUUGUCCAUAAUUCAUAUUCAGUGUUGGACUUUGUAGACGCAAGUUUAUGUAUUGACAAUCUUAUUUGUUAAAGAUAUUGGUCAUCCAGCUUAAAACAGUCUGUUAGUUGAAGUUCUGACUGACGUUUUCACAUCCUUCGCGGUGGUCAUCUUGGGACUCAAGUGAAGAAUCAAUCUCAGGAUUGCAGUAUUUGUCAGGUGCUUACGUUACAAGGUUAUUUGUGAAAAAAUGUGUGGGUGUGCAAGGGCCAAUUCUACUGUGUAUAUAAGCUGUCAGUUGUAGCGUGGUGAAACGACUUUAUAGCGACUAUUUUGAGCAGUCAUUUUAAACCAAGUUUAGAGUUAUUUCUAAGUUAGUAUUACCGUGUCUCAAAGUCUCUUCGAUAGUUUCUGUACACGCAAGAACAGGAAAGUAUUCCGUAUUCGAAGAUAAUUUAUCAUAAACCAUAAAUGAGGUCCUCUCUACAUAUUUAGCUCAAACAAAAUAACUAGUCUUGUAUCGUUCAAACUCAA